CCUAGGGAUGCAUUGAAGACCAAGACUCAUCAAGAACACAUCCAUGGCACCAAAAGUGCUUAAGUGGUCCAUCAAAAGGCUUAGCACAAGCUUAGAAGAGUAAUUAGUGCUAGAAUAUGCUUAGAGAGGAGUGAGUGCAAGGUGUGUCGACCUUGUAGUCAAGUUUUAGAGUGAACCACCGCUGUACAAGAGGUGUGCCGAUGCUUUGGAACCUUGAUGGCUCGUCGGCAAGUCUUUGACCCUCCAGCUUGGUGUGGAGUGGCGUCGACAACCUUGUUCGGGGGACGUGGAGACCCCCCCUCCCUUCAUGGAGAGGCUCCUUAGUGGAGACGGCAUCAAAGUGACCGAUGGACUUGGCGUGAGCCUUAGUGGCCGAGC
This 378-nucleotide long non-coding RNA is filed under the name Setaria viridis. RNAcentral describes it as "long non-coding RNA (SVIR_LNC004623)". Lineage: Eukaryota; Viridiplantae; Streptophyta; Magnoliopsida; Poales; Poaceae. The record is from RNAcentral.